Molecule: ribosomal RNA, 484 nt
Filed under: uncultured bacterium
Lineage: Bacteria
Description: partial 16S ribosomal RNA
Rfam family: Bacterial small subunit ribosomal RNA
Source: RNAcentral
AUUGAACGCUGGCGGCAGGCCUAACACAUGCAAGUCGAGCGGAUGAAGGGAGCUUGCUCCUGGAUUCAGCGGCGGACGGGUGAGUAAUGCCUAGGAAUCUGCCUGGUAGUGGGGGAUAACGUCCGGAAACGGGCGCUAAUACCGCAUACGUCCCGAGGGAGAAAGUGGGGGAUCUUCGGACCUCACGCUAUCAGAUGAGCCUAGGUCGGAUUAGCUAGUUGGUGGGGUAAAGGCCUACCAAGGCGACGAUCCGUAACUGGUCUGAGAGGAUGAUCAGUCACGCUGGAACUGAGACACGGUCCAGACUCCUACGGGAGGCAGCAGUGAGGAAUAUUGGACAAUGGGCGAAAGCCUGAUCCAGCCAUGCCGCGUGUGUGAAGAAGGUCUUCGGAUUGUAAAGCACUUUAAGUUGGGAGGAAGGGCAGUAAGUUAAUACCUUGCUGUUUUGACGUUACCAACAGAAUAAGCACCGGCUAACUUCGUG